RNAcentral lists this ribosomal RNA (494 nucleotides) under uncultured bacterium. RNAcentral describes it as "partial 16S ribosomal RNA". It matches the Rfam family "Bacterial small subunit ribosomal RNA", at positions 28 to 507 of the family's 1533-position model. The record is from RNAcentral.
GACGAACGCUGGCGGCGUGCUUAACACAUGCAAGUCGAACGGUGAAGCGCCUUCCUUUUUGGUGGGUGUGGAUGAGUGGCGAACGGGUGAGUAACACGUGAGUAACCUGCCCCCUUCUUCUGGAUAACCGCAUGAAAGUGUGGCUAAUACGGGAUAUUCUGGGUCUGUCGCAUGAUGGGUCUGGGAAAGAUAUUGUUUCGGUGGGGGAUGGGCUCGCGGCCUAUCAGCUUGUUGGUGGGGUGAUGGCCUACCAAGGCGGUGACGGGUAGCCGGCCUGAGAGGGUGGACUGCCACACUGGGGCUGAGAGACGGCGCAGACUCCUACGGGAGGCAGAGGUGGGGAAUAUUGCACAAUGGGCGCAAGCCUGAUGCAGCGCCGCGGCGCGUGAGAUGGGGGUCUUCGGGUGGUUAACCUCUUUCGCCAGAGAAGCAGGACAGCCGCGUUUGGUGGUGGGUUGACGGUAGCUGGAGAAGAAGCGCCGGCUAACUACGUG